RNAcentral lists this transfer RNA (120 nucleotides) under Exophiala aquamarina CBS 119918. It matches the Rfam family "tRNA". Rfam says of the family: Transfer RNA (tRNA) molecules are approximately 80 nucleotides in length. Their secondary structure includes four short double-helical elements and three loops (D, anti-codon, and T loops). Further hydrogen bonds mediate the characteristic L-shaped molecular structure. tRNAs have two regions of fundamental functional importance: the anti-codon, which is responsible for specific mRNA codon recognition, and the 3' end, to which the tRNAs corresponding amino acid is attached (by aminoacyl-tRNA synthetases). tRNAs cope with the degeneracy of the genetic code in two manners: having more than one tRNA (with a specific anti-codon) for a particular amino acid; and 'wobble' base-pairing, i.e. permitting non-standard base-pairing at the 3rd anti-codon position. Lineage: Eukaryota; Fungi; Ascomycota; Eurotiomycetes; Chaetothyriales; Herpotrichiellaceae. The record is from Rfam by way of RNAcentral.
GUCAAUUUGGCCGAGUGGUUAAGGCGUAUGACUUGAAUAUCGAUAAAUCUACACGUAGAUUUUAUUGUUCAUGGUUAUCAUAUCUCUUCGGAGGCACAGGUUCGAACCCUGUAGUUGACG